Molecule: ribosomal RNA, 507 nt
Filed under: uncultured bacterium
Lineage: Bacteria
Description: partial 16S ribosomal RNA
Rfam family: Bacterial small subunit ribosomal RNA
Source: RNAcentral
AUUGAACGCUGGCGGCAGGCGUAACACAUGCAAGUCGAGCGGCAGCGGAAGGAAGCUUGCUUCCUUGCCGGAGAGCGGCGGACGGGUGAGUAAGGUAUGGGGAUCUGGCCGAAGGCGGGGGAUAACCACUGGAAACGGUGGCUAGUACCGCAUGAUCUCUAAGGAGCAAAGUGGGGGACAGUUCAGGCCUCAAACCUACGGACGAACCCAUAUGGAAUUAGCUAGUAGGUGGGGUAAUGGCUCAACUAGGCGACGAUCUCUAGCUGGUCUGAGAGGAUGAUCAGCCACACUGGGACUGAGACACGGCCCAGACUCCUACGGGAGGCAGCAGUGGGGAAUAUUGCACAAUGGGCGCAAGCCUGAUGCAGCCAUGCCGCGUGUAUGAAGAAGGCCUUCGGGUUGUAAAGUACUUUCAGUCGUGAGGAAGGUGUUAAGGUUAAUAACCUUAGCAAUUGACGUUAGCGACAGAGGAAGCACCGGCUAACUCCGUGCCAGCCGCCGCAGUAA